UACGGGGGGGGCAAGCGUUGUUCGGAAUUACUGGGCGUAAAGGGCGCGUAGGCGGCUUGGCAAGUGGAAGGUGAAAUCCCUCGGCUUAACCGAGGAACUGCCCUCCAAACUGCUUGGCUUGAGUUCGGGAGAGGGAUGCGGAAUUCCAGGUGUAGCGGUGAAAUGCGUAGAUAUCUGGAGGAACACCGGUGGCGAAGGCGGCAUCCUGGACCGAUACUGACGCUGAGGAGCGAAAGCCAGGGGAGCAAACGGG
RNAcentral lists this ribosomal RNA (253 nucleotides) under uncultured bacterium. Its description in RNAcentral is "partial 16S ribosomal RNA". It matches the Rfam family "Bacterial small subunit ribosomal RNA", at positions 524 to 776 of the family's 1533-position model. The record is from RNAcentral.